CGUAGGUAACCUGCCUUGUAGCGGGGGAUAACUAUUGGAAACGAUAGCUAAUACCGCAUAACAAUGGAUGACACAUGUCAUUUAUUUGAAAGGGGCAAUUGCUCCACUACAAGAUGGACCUGCGUUGUAUUAGCUAGUAGGUGAGGUAAUGGCUCACCUAGGCGACGAUACAUAGCCGACCUGAGAGGGUGAUCGGCCACACUGGGACUGAGACACGGCCCAG
Molecule: ribosomal RNA, 223 nt
Filed under: uncultured bacterium
Lineage: Bacteria
Description: partial 16S ribosomal RNA
Rfam family: Bacterial small subunit ribosomal RNA
Source: RNAcentral